AAGAAGCCCUGAAGCUCUUCUGCGAGGUAGACGAAGAGGCCAUCUGUGUGGUGUGCCGAGAAUCCAGGAGCCACAAACAGCACAGCGUGGUGCCAUUGGAGGAGGUGGUGCAGGAGUACAAGGUGAGAGAAGUACAGAGAGAAGACGGGAGUUUAGUGGGGGGGCGGAGAGGAAGUAAGGGGACCUGGGAAAAGGAAACAUCUCUUCACCCACCAAAGAACCUCAUGGUAUUGGUGAGCUGAGUUUGCUUAUCUAAGCACUUAGGGCCACCAAGGUGGAUUAGAAUGAGAAGGAUUCUGUACACAGAGCAGAUGCAGUGAAGAAUGGCUUCCUCAAAGCAAAUAGAGCAAAGCCGGUGAUGCCAGAUCAGGUCUCUAGGGCUUUACCAGAAGUCUCGUUUUCUUUCGGGUGAGUCUUAAGUCUGUCCUUGACGGAGACACCUAGAGAUGGAAAGAACUGGGGGCUUCAAAGGACAAGAAAAGGCUCAGAAGAAGGAACACAGAGAUAACUGCUAGUGUCAGUGUCAGACCCAAAUGCCCUGCACUUGCCUCCCAGUGGGUUCCCCACCUACCACGAUAUGGCUUGGUUCUGUCUUCAAGGACUUUGGUUGGCUCUGUGUCAUUCUUAUGCACUGACUAGAAAGGAGGAGCUUUUCAGUCAGAAGACCUGGCUCUGCAAGUUGCAUUGUCAAAUCUUGAUUAAGUCUGUGAGUGUCUUUGGACUUUAAUUUGUCCAGGAUUGAUAGUUAAUAUUCACUGGACAUUUAUAUGUAUACCAGGCACUGUACUAGGCACUUUUCAUGGACUGUCUCGUUAAAACCCAGACAACCCUGAGUUUGAUAUGUUUUCCAUUCCCAUUUUAUAGAUUGGGAAACAAAGUCAGAGAGGCUUUAAGUACCAUACAGAGGGCCACAGAGCUUCAGUAAUAAUUGACUUAGUUAUUUACUGUCCCUUCCCCUGGUGUAUACUAACAACGCCACCACCAUUUGGAUGUCUGUUGUUUGACUUUUCUGAUGUGGCUUUCUUGGAGUCUGAUUCUAGUUUGACAAAUACCUUGCCCCUACUUCUCAUUUUGACUCUUCUUUGGACAUAGGUAAAGGAGAUUUGUCUGCAAGGCAGCCAGCACAAAUAGCAAUACUUAGUGAAGGCCUGGAUGGGUUUGAAGCAGUGGGACCAGGAGGAGGAGAGGGUAGCCUCUGUGUGGUCUGCACAGAGCUUUUUUUGUUUUAUAACUCAUGUUUUCAGACCUUCUCCUGAUUCCUGCUAUAACUUCAUUUAGGUAUUAUUUUCGUUACCCCAAUUUUAGAGUAAUGUGUCUAGGGUUUCUCAGCUCUGAGUGGUACAGCUAGACAUACCUACAUUACCUCAUCACAAGUAACAAUUUCUUUUACAGAGUGGCUUUUUUUUUUUUUUAAUUUUUUGAGAUGGAGUCUCACUCUGUUGCCCAGGCUGAAGUGCAGUAGCAUGAUCUCGGCUCACUGCAGCCUUCACCUCCCGGGUUCAAGUGAUUCUCCUGCUUCAGCCUCCUGAGUAUCUGGGAUUACAGGCACUCGCCACCACAGCUGGCUGAUUUUUGUAUUUUUAGUAGAGAUGGGGUUUCACCGUGUUGGCCAGGCUGUUCUGAAAUUCCUGACCUCAGGUGAUCCGCCCGUUUUGGCCUCCCAAAGUGCUGGGAUUACAGACAUGAGCCACUGUGCCUGGCUACACAAAGAUUGUUAAACCUGCCUGAUUGUUGGAAUUACUAGGGGAGGUUUUCAGAAAUACAGUGGAUCCUACCACUAGAGUUUCUGAAUCAGUGAGUAGGAGAAUAUCUUUAAAAAGCCCAGUCUAGCAUGGGGAUCACUGCAUGGGUAACAUUGCCUAGCUGUUAGUCCCUACAUUUUUAGCAGAGAUUGUGAGGUCCUGUUGUCCUUUCCAUCUCCUCAGUUCCUAGUUAACCAUACCCAUCAUAUCAUGUGUGGUCACUUUGUGAACAGGAACCCAGGCCAAACUAUCCAUGGGCAUUCCACCCCUUCUCUUUCACCUCCCCCUGUAGGACUGCUCCAAGGAGCUUCUGAAACUGGAUUUUAAUUUGCAUUAGCCAAAUCUGUUCAAUGCCCGCUGCCUGAAAUCCCGUAUUAGGUCCUGAAGUAGGUGAGGAAUUUAAAAAAGUCAUAAUCUCUUUUCUUUCCCCCCCCCUUUUUUUUUUUGAGACAGAAUUUCACUCUUGUUGCCCAGGCUGGAGUGCAAUGGCACGAUCUUGGCUCACCGCAACCUCUGCCUCGGAUUCAAGCGAUUCUCCUGCCUCAGCCUCCCGAGUAGCUGGGAUUACAGGCAUGCGCCACCACACCCGGCUAAUUUUUUGUAUUUUUAGUAGAGACGGGAUUUCUCCAUGUUGGUCAGACUGAUCUCGAACGCCUGACCUCAGGUGAUCCGCCCAACUUGGCCUCCCAAAGUGCUAGGAUUGCAGGUGUGAACCACUGCGCCUGGCCAUACUCUCUUUUCUUGAUCUGUUUACUGCGCUCUGCAGUUUGGGAGGCCAUAUACACAUAUUUAAUCUGACAUUAAGUGAUGAGUAAAUGUAAAUACAUAGUUUUAUUGUAUAGGACUAAUUUGAGUGAUUCCCUUUCUGACUUAAUAGGCUAUUUUACAAGUGGGUCAUUUAUUUUUUUAUUUUUAUUUUUUUUGAGAUGGAGUCUCGCUCUGUCGCCCAGGCUGGAGUCCAGUGGCGUGUUCUCGGCUCACUGCAAGCUCCGCAUCCCAGGUUCACGCCAUUCUCCUGCCUCAGCCUCCCAGGUAGCUGGGACUACAGGCGACUGCCACCACGCCUGGCUAAUUUUUUUGUAUUUUUAGUAGAGACAGGAUUUCACCAUGUUAGCCAGGAUGGUAUCGAUCUCCUGACCUUCUGAUUUGCCUGCCUCGGCCUCCCAAAGUGCUGGGAUUACAGGCGUGAGCACCGCGCCCAGCCACAAGUGGGUCAUUUAUUCUUUUCAGAUAUGUACAUGCAGUAACCAGUAGCUUGGCAAAAUGUUUUGUAAAAAUUUUUUUUGUUGAAUAGGUAAUAACACACAAAUGAUAUAUAAAUAUAGUUCCUGAACAGUUACAUGUUUGUUUUGUUUUUUUUGAGUCAGGGUCUCGCUCUGGCCAGGCUGGAAUGCAGUAGCAUGAUCAUAGCUCACUGCAGCCUUGACCUUCUGGGUUCAGGUGAUCCUGAGUAGUAGCUGGGACUGGAGGUGUGUGCCAUCAUGCCCAGCUAAUUUUUUUUUUUUUUUUUUUUUUUUCGUGGAGACAGGGUCUUGCUGUGUUGCUCAGGCUGGUCUUGAACCACUGGCCUCAAGCAAUCUUCCCAUUUUGGCCCCUCAAAGUGCUGGGAUUACUGUGUCUGCCCGACAGUUAAAUGUUUUGAAAAUUGGCUGGGCACGGUGGCGGGUGCCUGUAGUCCCAGCUACUCGGGAGGCUGAGGCAGGAGAAUGGCGUGAACCCGGGGGAGGUGGAGCUUGCAGUGAGCUGAGAUCGCGCCACUGCACUCCAGCCUGGACAACAGAGCGAGACUCUGUCUCAAAAAAAAAAAGAAAAAAUGUUUUGAGAAUUUCUCUUAUAACUGGCUGGCUGUGGUGGCUCACGCCUGUAAUCCCAGCACUUUGGGAGGCUGAGGCAGGUGGAUCACUUGAAGUCAGGAGUUCAAUACCAGCCUGGCCAACAUGGUGAAAUUCCGUCUCUACUAAAAAUACAAAAUUAGCCAGCAUGAUGGCAUGUGCCUGUAAUCCCAGCUACUCGGGAGGCUGGGGCAAGAGAAUCGCUUGAAUCUGGGAGGCAGAGGUUGCAGUGAGCCAAGAUUGUGCUACUGCAUUCCAGCCUGGGCAACACAGCGAGACUCCCAUCUCAAAAAAAAAAAAAAAAAAAAAAAAAGGAAAUAUAUCUUAAAUAGAACUCUGUUUGAAUUUGUGCUUAUUAAUUUUUGUUUUUGUCAGCAAUUUAGGGUCCAGGCAUAGUGGCUCACACCUGUAGUCCCAGCACUUUGGGAGGCAGAGGUGGGCAGAUCACUUGAGGGCAGGAGUUAAGACCAGCCUGGCCAACAUGGUGAAACCCUGUCUCUACUAAAAAUACAAAAAUUAGCCAGGUGUGGUGGUGGGCACCUUUAAUCUCAGCUACUCGGGAGGCUGAGGCAGGAGAAUUGCUUGAACCCAGGAGGUGGAUGUUGCAGUGAGCCGAGAUGGCACUGCUGCACUCCAUUCUAGGCGACAGAGCAAGACUCUGUCUCAAAAAAAAAAAAAAGAAAAACACUAAAUGGUAAAUUUAAGCAUUAUAAAUUCUGAAUUAAUGGAGAAAUUAUUGACUAGAAAAGUAGAAAGUUAUAUCAGAAGGCCAAAUUUUGUGUAGUUCAUGCUAUUGUCACGAGUUGACUAUAAUUCCAUUAUUACUAUAAUUUUGUCUACAACCACUUACCCUGUGCAGCAACUGCUGUUUGCACUCUGGCUUGGUAAACUCUUUAGUUCAGCGGUCAUUAUCAGGAUGUCACUGGCAGCUUAAGGUAUAGGGAACAAAUAUUAGAUAACAUUUACUGAUCUUCUGCUACAUGCCAGGCACUGCAGUAAGUGUGCUAUCCAUGAGGUCCAUUCUCUUCUUAUUUGAAGCUGAGGAAACUGAAAGCAUGGCUUGCCUGAGGUCACUUCACUUCCCUCUGGUCCUGAUUGGAGUCAGGCUGGAGCUCUCCUACCCUAUAUUCUCUCUCAAAGAAAAGGAGACAGGCUAGUAGAAGACAUAGAAAAGGAAAGAGCAAAUAGGUAGGGCUUAUUCCACUCAUUCUGGGCUAACAGCCCUUUAAAGAAAAGUAUUUGGCUACAAAUUGUAGAAACACAGAGCUCGUGUGCCUAUUGGCUAUAACAGUUACAACCUUUGGAAGAGGGGUUUCGGUGUCCUUUGCCAUUUAGCAAGUAAUUGAGCAGGAGAGAAAGCAGAUGAGCAGAAAGAAGCAAAGAAGUUGAAAUAAGUAGAGUGUGGGCAGGGACUCCGCAGUGUCCUGGAGGAGGCACACCUGUCACUGGUGCCCUGGGAAGUCAUGUAUUAGAUAUUUCUUGGGAUCACAGAGGAUGUUGGGGGUGGGGAGGAUCAGGGCCAUUUUCAGGGAGCUGUUUUAAAGGAAGAAUACCUUGGGCCAAGUGGAGAAAGGCACUCCCAGACAGAGGGAACAGCAUGGAAUUAUACUCAGGAAAUGACAAGUAAUUUUAUGUGGUCAAACGUGUUAACAGUCUGUGUGGAAGGCGUUGAGUGUAGAGGUGAGGCUGGAAGUGUGGGGUCAAUGUUUUGGAAGUGGUGGUGACCCAUGGAAAGGUUUUAGCAUAGGAAAAAAAUCAUCAGAAAAGUAUUUAGAGAGAAGAGUUCUGGGGAAGAUCGCCUGUGAAGGGGAAAGGGACCAAAGGUGAGGGCACCCCUGGAAAGACUCUGGUGCGGGGCUCAAGCCACUUCCCCUCAGCUGUGAGCGUGGGAGCUCUCUAGUCUUGAGGCUCCUACAUUUAGAGAAUACACACAGGGCCGGCCGGGCGCGGUGGCUCACGCCUGUAAUCUCAGUACUUUGGGAGGCUGAGGUGGGCGGAUCACGAGGUCAGGAGAUUGAGACCAUCCUGGGUAGCAUGGCGAGGUGAAACCACGUCUCUACUAAAAAUAAAAAAAUUAGCCAGGCGUGGUGGUGGGCACCUGUAGUACCAGCUACUCGGGAGGCUGAGGCAGGAGAAUUGCUUGAAUCCGGGAGGCGGAGGUUCCAGUGAGCCAAGAUCGUGCCACUGCACUCCAGCCUGAGCGACAGAGCGAGACUCUGUCUCAAAAAAAAAAAAAAAAAAAAAAAAAGUACACACAGGGGGCUUCUGCAGACGUGCACAGAGGGAUUGGAGGCUUUUGUCAUCAUCUGAAAGAAGAAAGUGGAGGAAGGGGUAUAAUACUCACUUGACACCCAUUUUGGGGGGUAGGGAUCAGGCUUUGACCCAUCUUGCUAUAGGGAGGAUUGCAGAGGUAGGCUCUGAAGGGCAGGUGCGUCUCCCAGCCCCCACUUUUCUUUUUCUGUUUCCUCAGGCCAAACUGCAGGGGCACGUGGAACCACUGAGGAAGCACCUGGAGGCUGUGCAGAAGAUGAAAGCCAAGGAGGAGAGGCGAGUGACAGAACUGAAGAGCCAGAUGAAGUCAGAGCUGGCAGCGGUGGCCUCGGAGUUUGGGCGACUGACACGGUUUCUGGCUGAAGAGCAGGCAGGGCUGGAACGGCGUCUCAGAGAGAUGCAUGAAGCCCAGCUGGGGCGUGCGGGAGCCGCGGCUAGUCGCCUUGCAGAACAGGCCGCCCAGCUCAGCCGCCUGCUGGCUGAGGCCCAGGAGCGGAGCCAGCAGGGGGGUCUCCGGCUGCUCCAGGUGAGCGAUGUCCCCUCCCUGUUCCCCCAGCAUUCUGUGUUGGCUGUCAGGCAGUGCUUACCAAACACCUGUCCAGAGCUGCCUCUUUUCUCCCUGGGAGGAACCCACAAUGAUUGAACCUGAAGACCAAAAACAUGUUUUAAAGCUGGAAACAGAGUUAAUGUCGAAUGUGGUAUGUGUGGCGAUUAUACCCAGUGAAAAGCAUGAAGAUUCGGUUGUAGGAGAGGUUUAAAUGACAGUUGAGGAAAGGCUUUUUGACAGUGACAUCCUGAAAAAGGUGAGCAAAUCGUAUUGUGGAAAUGACAGUAUCCCUGGGCUCACAGCAGGAUGAGGCGAGUUAGGUAUGGUGAGGCAUGGGGUGGUUGAAAUGGAUGUGUGUUCAUGGAGGGCCGUGAGGGUGCUGCUUCUCCCUUCCUGCUCAGGUUCAGUCUCUGACUGGAGAUCGGGGAACGCUGUCCCUGUGCAGCUGACACUCUCUUUAUCUCUUUCUCCCUCUCCCUCUUUUUGUUUCUCUUGUUCCCAGGACAUCAAGGAGACUUUCAAUAGGUGUGUUCCCACUCUUUGCCCUUUGUGACCCAGUGGCAUCUGGUUCCCUGUCCCUGCUUCUCUUGGGUAUCCCUCUCCUCUCCUUCCUU
This 7006-nucleotide small RNA is filed under the name Pan troglodytes (chimpanzee). RNAcentral describes it as "retained intron". Lineage: Eukaryota; Metazoa; Chordata; Mammalia; Primates; Hominidae. The record is from RNAcentral.